Molecule: long non-coding RNA, 1197 nt
Organism: Oncorhynchus tshawytscha (Chinook salmon)
Lineage: Eukaryota; Metazoa; Chordata; Actinopteri; Salmoniformes; Salmonidae
Source: Ensembl
CAAAAAGAUAGUACAGUUUAUUCACGAGAACGUUCUGAAGUCCAUUAUACAAAGACAUCCAUUUUAUAGAUGCGCACAUACUUCCACACAAACAGUAGAUAUCCUACGCACAUACUUCCACACAAACAGUAGGUAUCCUACGCACAUACUUCCACACAAACAGUAGAUAUCCUACGCACAUACUUCCACACAAACAGUAGAUAUCCUACGCACAUACUUCCACACAAACAGUAGAUAUCCUACGCACAUACUUCCACACAAUCAGUAGGUGCGUUUUAUCUCUAUAGUUCUCACCACUGUGUAUCACUGCCUAGCCGACAGUUCCACUCCCCCGAGAUUAGGGAAACCUUGAGAAGUACUCCCUGUGCUCUCAUAGGUUCCUCAGAGUUCCUGCCAGGUCGGUUCAAACACAGUUGAACUGUUCUAUGUAUUUUCUUCGGCACACACACACAAGUUCAAAUCCUGAGCUACGCCUUGCUCAGACAGUCUGUGUUUUUCCACUAUACAGAUACAUUGUUUAACCUAAUUCCGGCAAAAACUACACACAUCAUCGGAUUAUAAUUUUAUGAUUCUAAUCAAUUUCAUACAGUUUUAAGGUUUCAGAGUGGAAUUAUUUAAUCAUUAUCUUUCAACAUUAAAAUGAUUUUAUCAGUAACCACGGUUAUGUGUGCUACCGGAUCACUCCAAUCCUCUUUGUCGGUGAUCUAUGGCACCUCGAAAAAGGACACGAGGGGGAAGUAGUGCAGCGGCAGCUAUUUAAGUGGUUUCGCCGCAGCCUCAGCAAUACUGAAAUCCUUACUCAGAAUGUGUCCUGCUGCGCGGAGGGAUACCUUAUUGAAGGAUACCAUAUUGGAAUGAUUCAAUAGCUCACAUAACCGUGGUUACGUACGUAACCUUCGUUUUUCCUGACACCGCUAUGAUCUUCUCCACGGCCCCGAAUAUCUCCACAGCAGCCGCCGAGAAACGCUCGGGCACAGCUGUGUGGAGAUAUGAAGAGAACAGAGGCUAGCUUGAGCAGCAGCGACAAUUUUAUCUGCAGAAAGGAGUAACAAAACUGCAAUUAUCACUUGUUUGUACGCUAUGCUCCCACCAUGAUCUCACACCCCUGCUAAAAUGCCACAUAGACAAGAGGUUGUAUUUUCCUAUAAAGGCUGAGAACCAACUGUUGUUUGUUGGGCUCUUGACUGUUGCACCUGC